Molecule: ribosomal RNA, 467 nt
Filed under: uncultured bacterium
Lineage: Bacteria
Description: partial 16S ribosomal RNA
Rfam family: Bacterial small subunit ribosomal RNA
Source: RNAcentral
GAUGAACGCUGGCGGCGUGCUUAACACAUGCAAGUCGAACGGAAAGGCCCAAGCUUGCUUGGGUACUCGAGUGGCGAACGGGUGAGUAACACGUGGGUGAUCUGCCCCGCACUUCGGGAUAAGCCUGGGAAACUGGGUCUAAUACCGGAUAGGACAGUGGUUUGGAUGCCAUUGUGGAAAGAUUUUUCGGUGUGGGAUGAGCUCGCGGCCUAUCAGCUUGUUGGUGGGGUAAUGGCCUACCAAGGCGUCGACGGGUAGCCGGCCUGAGAGGGUGUACGGCCACAUUGGGACUGAGGUACGGCCCAGACUCCUACGGGAGGCAGCAGUGGGGAAUAUUGCACAAUGGGCGCAAGCCUGAUGCAGCGACGCCGCGUGGGGGAUGACGGCCUUCGGGUUGGAAACUCCUUUCGCUAGGGACGAAGCGUUAUGUGACGGUACCUAGAGAAGAAGCACCGGCUAACUACGUG